Molecule: long non-coding RNA, 643 nt
Organism: Pogonomyrmex barbatus (red harvester ant)
Lineage: Eukaryota; Metazoa; Arthropoda; Insecta; Hymenoptera; Formicidae
Source: RefSeq, a predicted model, not a curated record
GCUAUACACAUAUAUGAAAAGUCAACUAAUGCGUGUAGAAUCUUACAUUUUUAUAGGAUCGAUUUUUUAUUUCAAGAAUCGAUUCACUGCAUUAAUUGAAGCUGUAAGAUCGACCUAAAAAAAUCGAGAAUCGAAUAUAAAAGAAUCGAUUCUUUAAGAUCGCCCACCCCUAAUUCCUAGGCAUCGGCUGAUAUGAGUGUGUCCGAUUGAAAAUGUGCACAUCUGGGACGCUUCCGAAAUCACGCAGCGAAAGAAAUUAUUAGUGACAUAACUAGAAGUAAUGAAGACCUAUUCAUCUCAAAAUAUUUCAAAAACUACACUGAAUGCAACUUUACGACUGAGCAUAAAAGCUAAGCCAGCUUUGAGAGUUAAGUCCGCUUGAAGACGUCCAAAGUGAUGAGCUGCAAUUCAUCGAAGAGUAUGAGUCAUUAAAUGAAUCUGCAUUUAAUGAAGUUAGAGUCUACAUAUCAAAUUUUGCAGGAAAAAACAUCUUUAAUCAUAGAAACUACAAAUCACAAUUCAAAGUAAUGAAGUUGAUAAAGAGAAUAUAAAUGGUGGAAAUGGUAACUAUACGUUUUAAAUGUGAUAUUAGAUAAGUUUUCUGAAAAUGUUAUAGUUGACUAAAUGACGUUUAUUUAUGGGA